Molecule: ribosomal RNA, 253 nt
Filed under: uncultured bacterium
Lineage: Bacteria
Description: partial 16S ribosomal RNA
Rfam family: Bacterial small subunit ribosomal RNA
Source: RNAcentral
UACGUAGGUGGCAAGCGUUGUCCGGAUUUACUGGGCGUAAAGCGCGCGCAGGCGGACUGAUCAGUCUGGGGUGAAAUCUCCCGGCUCAACUGGGAGCGGUCCCUGGAUACUGUCAGUCUUGAGAGACCUAGAGGAGAGCGGAAUUCCCGGUGUAGCGGUGAAAUGCGUAGAUAUCAGGAAGAACACCGGUGGCGAAAGCGCUCUGCUAGGCCGCAACUGACACUGAGGGACGAAAGCUAGGGGAGCGAAUGGG